UUCAGAUCUAAUAACGGUCGAGGAAGUGGAGUCUUCCUUUGAUGAGGAGUUGCUGUUAGAGCCAGAAGGUGAGGGUUCUACACCCAGUAAAAGCUGGGCUGAGCAGAUGGAUGAGAGGGAUAGGGUGUGGACCGCGGCAGCCCAGCGCAUCAUAGCUGAGCGGUCCGGUAAAGUGCCCACUGCAUGCUCACCAGAUGUUGAGUUAUUAGAUACCAAUAACAACAUUACCGAGCAAAAGUCAGUUGACUUAUUUACGCAAAGGGGGCCUCUAGGUAUACAGACACCGACAUAAAUGCCUUUCGUCCGAUCUCUCUUUCUGCGCGACGUCUGCAGUAUACCACAACUAAAAUUAAUUCAUCUCCAUUAAAUGUCAAUAAACCCCUUUUUAUAAUCAUAGAAUAAUAACCCACAAUUGGUUAUGCCUUGGUGCAAAUAGGCUUGCUUACAAAAUGCAAAGACAUAAUAAACAAAAAAAAACAGUGUCAGUGAAUGGCUAAUUUUCACAACUAUGAAACUAUACGCUUUAACCAUAAAGCCAUAAUUAAAUGAAAUCAAUGGUCAUUGUGACUGCCUUUAAUUUGAUUAUGCAUAUAAGCCUACAAAU
Long non-coding RNA from Dreissena polymorpha, 604 nucleotides. RefSeq lists it as uncharacterized. The transcript has 2 exons. Lineage: Eukaryota; Metazoa; Mollusca; Bivalvia; Myida; Dreissenidae. The record is from RefSeq and is a predicted model, not a curated record.